Molecule: ribosomal RNA, 253 nt
Filed under: uncultured bacterium
Lineage: Bacteria
Description: partial 16S ribosomal RNA
Rfam family: Bacterial small subunit ribosomal RNA
Source: RNAcentral
UACGUAGGGGGCAAGCGUUGUCCGGAAUUAUUGGGCGUAAAGAGCGUGUAGGCGGCCAGAUAGGUCCGUUGUGAAAACUGGAGGCUUAACCUCCAGCGGUCGAUGGAAACCAUCUGGCUAGAGUCCGGAAGAGGAGAGUGGAAUUCCUGGUGUAGCGGUGAAAUGCGCAGAUAUCAGGAAGAACACCCGUGGCGAAGGCGGCUCUCUGGGACGGUACUGACGCUGAGACGCGAAAGCGUGGGGAGCGAACAGG